Molecule: ribosomal RNA, 492 nt
Filed under: uncultured bacterium
Lineage: Bacteria
Description: partial 16S ribosomal RNA
Rfam family: Bacterial small subunit ribosomal RNA
Source: RNAcentral
AGUGAACGCUGGCGGUAGGCCUAACACAUGCAAGUCGAACAGCAGCACAGUAAGAGCUUGCUCUUACGGGUGGCGAGUGGCGGACGGGUGAGGAAUACAUCGGAAUCUACUUUUUCGUGGGGGAUAACGUAGGGAAACUUACGCUAAUACCGCAUACGACCUACGGGUGAAAGCAGGGGAUCUUCGGACCUUGCGCGAUUGAAUGAGCCGAUGUCGGAUUAGCUAGUUGGCGGGGUAAAGGCCCACCAAGGCGACGAUCCGUAGCUGGUCUGAGAGGAUGAUCAGCCACACUGGAACUGAGACACGGUCCAGACUCCUACGGGAGGCAGCAGUGGGGAAUAUUGGACAAUGGGCGCAAGCCUGAUCCAGCCAUACCGCGUGGGUGAAGAAGGCCUUCGGGUUGUAAAGCCCUUUUGUUGGGAAAGAAAAGCAGCAGGUUAAUACCCCGCUGUUCUGACGGUACCCAAAGAACAAGCACCGGCUAACUUCGUG